AGUGAACGCUGGCGGUAGGCCUAACACAUGCAAGUCGAACGGCAGCACAGGAGAGCUUGCUCUCUGGGUGGCGAGUGGCGGACGGGUGAGGAAUACAUCGGAAUCUACUCUGUCGUGGGGGAUAACGUAGGGAAACUUACGCUAAUACCGCAUACGACCUACGAGUGAAAGCAGGGGACCUUCGGGCCUUGCGCGAUUGAAUGAGCCGAUGUCGGAUUAGCUAGUUGGCGGGGUAAAGGCCCACCAAGGCGACGAUCCGUAGCUGGUCUGAGAGGAUGAUCAGCCACACUGGAACUGGGUAACGGUCCAGACUCCUACGGGAGGCAGCAGUGGGGAAUAUUGGACAAUGGGCGCAAGCCUGAUCCAGCCAUACCGCGUGGGUGAAGAAGGCCUUCGGGUUGUAAAGCCCUUUUGUUGGGAAAGAAAUCCAGCUGGCUAAUACCCGGUUGGGAUGACGGUACCCAAAGAAUAAGCACCGGCUAACUUCGUGCCAGCCGCCGCAGUAA
RNAcentral lists this ribosomal RNA (506 nucleotides) under uncultured bacterium. Its description in RNAcentral is "partial 16S ribosomal RNA". It matches the Rfam family "Bacterial small subunit ribosomal RNA", at positions 29 to 523 of the family's 1533-position model. The record is from RNAcentral.